GAUGAACGCUAGCGGCAGGCCUAAUACAUGCAAGUCGAGGGGUAUGGGUUGCUUGCAACCCAGAGACCGGCGCACGGGUGCGUAACGCGUAUGCAAUCUACCUUAAUCAGGGGGAUAGCCCGGAGAAAUCCGGAUUAACACCGCAUAACAUUGAGUUGUGGCAUCACAGUUCAAUCAAAUAUUUAUAGGAUUAAGAUGAGCAUGUGUGACAUUAGUUAGUUGGUGAGGUAACGGCUCACCAAGACCACGAUGUCUAGGGGAUCUGAGAGGAUGACCCCCCACACUGGGACUGAGACACGGACCAGACUCCUACGGGAGGCAGCAGUAAGGAAUAUUGGUCAAUGGGCGAAAGCCUGAACCAGCCAUGCCGCGUGCAGGAAGACGGCCCUAUGGGUUGUAAACUGCUUUUGUACCGGAAUAAACCUUCUCUUGCGAGAGAAGCUGAACGUACGGUAAGAAUAAGGAUCGGCUAACUCCGUG
Molecule: ribosomal RNA, 480 nt
Filed under: uncultured bacterium
Lineage: Bacteria
Description: partial 16S ribosomal RNA
Rfam family: Bacterial small subunit ribosomal RNA
Source: RNAcentral